GACGAACGCUGGCGGCGUGCUUAACACAUGCAAGUCGAACGGAAAGGCCCUGCUUUUGUGGGGUGCUCGAGUGGCGAACGGGUGAGUAACACGUGAGUAACCUGCCCUUGACUUUGGGAUAACUUCAGGAAACUGGGGCUAAUACCGGAUAGGAGCUCCUGCUGCAUGGUGGGGGUUGGAAAGUUUCGGCGGUUGGGGAUGGACUCGCGGCUUAUCAGCUUGUUGGUGGGGUAGUGGCUUACCAAGGCUUUGACGGGUAGCCGGCCUGAGAGGGUGACCGGCCACAUUGGGACUGAGAUACGGCCCAGACUCCUACGGGAGGCAGCAGUGGGGAAUAUUGCACAAUGGGCGGAAGCCUGAUGCAGCAACGCCGCGUGCGGGAUGACGGCCUUCGGGUUGUAAACCACUUUCGCCUGUGACGAAGCGUGAGUGGCGGUAAUGGGUAAAGAAGCACCGGCUAACUACGU
Molecule: ribosomal RNA, 467 nt
Filed under: uncultured bacterium
Lineage: Bacteria
Description: partial 16S ribosomal RNA
Rfam family: Bacterial small subunit ribosomal RNA
Source: RNAcentral